ACUAAGCGUACACGGUGGAUGCCCUGGCAGUCAGAGGCGAUGAAGGACGUGCUAAUCUGCGAUAAGCGUCGGUAAGGUGAUAUGAACCGUUAUAACCGGCGAUUUCCGAAUGGGGAAACCCAGUGUGAUUCGUCACACUAUCAUUAACUGAAUCCAUAGGUUAAUGAGGCGAACCGGGGGAACUGAAACAUCUAAGUACCCCGAGGAAAAGAAAUCAACCGAGAUUCCCCCAGUAGCGGCGAGCGAACGGGGAGGAGCCCAGAGCCUGAAUCAGUGUGUGUGUUAGUGGAAGCGUCUGGAAAGGCGCGCGAUACAGGGUGACAGCCCCGUACACAAAAAUGCACAUACUGUGAGCUCGAUGAGUAGGGCGGGACACGUGGUAUCCUGUCUGAAUAUGGGGGGACCAUCCUCCAAGGCUAAAUACUCCUGACUGACCGAUAGUGAACCAGUACCGUGAGGGAAAGGCGAAAAGAACCCCGGCGAGGGGAGUGAAAAAGAACCUGAAACCGUGUACGUACAAGCAGUGGGAGCCUCUUUAUGGGGUGACUGCGUACCUUUUGUAUAAUGGGUCAGCGACUUAUAUUCUGUAGCAAGGUUAACCGAAUAGGGGAGCCGAAGGGAAACCGAGUCUUAACUGGGCGUUAAGUUGCAGGGUAUAGACCCGAAACCCGGUGAUCUAGCCAUGGGCAGGUUGAAGGUUGGGUAACACUAACUGGAGGACCGAACCGACUAAUGUUGAAAAAUUAGCGGAUGACUUGUGGCUGGGGGUGAAAGGCCAAUCAAACCGGGAGAUAGCUGGUUCUCCCCGAAAGCUAUUUAGGUAGCGCCUCGUGAAUUCAUCUCCGGGGGUAGAGCACUGUUUCGGCAAGGGGGUCAUCCCGACUUACCAACCCGAUGCAAACUGCGAAUACCGGAGAAUGUUAUCACGGGAGACACACGGCGGGUGCUAACGUCCGUCGUGAAGAGGGAAACAACCCAGACCGCCAGCUAAGGUCCCAAAGUCAUGGUUAAGUGGGAAACGAUGUGGGAAGGCCCAGACAGCCAGGAUGUUGGCUUAGAAGCAGCCAUCAUUUAAAGAAAGCGUAAUAGCUCACUGGUCGAGUCGGCCUGCGCGGAAGAUGUAACGGGGCUAAACCAUGCACCGAAGCUGCGGCAGCGACGCUUAUGCGUUGUUGGGUAGGGGAGCGUUCUGUAAGCCUGCGAAGGUGUGCUGUGAGGCAUGCUGGAGGUAUCAGAAGUGCGAAUGCUGACAUAAGUAACGAUAAAGCGGGUGAAAAGCCCGCUCGCCGGAAGACCAAGGGUUCCUGUCCAACGUUAAUCGGGGCAGGGUGAGUCGACCCCUAAGGCGAGGCCGAAAGGCGUAGUCGAUGGGAAACAGGUUAAUAUUCCUGUACUUGGUGUUACUGCGAAGGGGGGACGGAGAAGGCUAUGUUGGCCGGGCGACGGUUGUCCCGGUUUAAGCGUGUAGGCUGGUUUUCCAGGCAAAUCCGGAAAAUCAAGGCUGAGGCGUGAUGACGAGGCACUACGGUGCUGAAGCAACAAAUGCCCUGCUUCCAGGAAAAGCCUCUAAGCAUCAGGUAACAUCAAAUCGUACCCCAAACCGACACAGGUGGUCAGGUAGAGAAUACCAAGGCGCUUGAGAGAACUCGGGUGAAGGAACUAGGCAAAAUGGUGCCGUAACUUCGGGAGAAGGCACGCUGAUAUGUAGGUGAAGCGACUUGCUCGUGGAGCUGAAAUCAGUCGAAGAUACCAGCUGGCUGCAACUGUUUAUUAAAAACACAGCACUGUGCAAACACGAAAGUGGACGUAUACGGUGUGACGCCUGCCCGGUGCCGGAAGGUUAAUUGAUGGGGUUAGCGGUAACGCGAAGCUCUUGAUCGAAGCCCCGGUAAACGGCGGCCGUAACUAUAACGGUCCUAAGGUAGCGAAAUUCCUUGUCGGGUAAGUUCCGACCUGCACGAAUGGCGUAAUGAUGGCCAGGCUGUCUCCACCCGAGACUCAGUGAAAUUGAACUCGCUGUGAAGAUGCAGUGUACCCGCGGCAAGACGGAAAGACCCCGUGAACCUUUACUAUAGCUUGACACUGAACAUUGAGCCUUGAUGUGUAGGAUAGGUGGGAGGCUUUGAAGUGUGGACGCCAGUCUGCAUGGAGCCGGCCUUGAAAUACCACCCUUUAAUGUUUGAUGUUCUAACGUUGGCCCCUGAUCGGGGUUGCGGACAGUGUCUGGUGGGUAGUUUGACUGGGGCGGUCUCCUCCUAAAGAGUAACGGAGGAGCACGAAGGUUGGCUAAUCCUGGUCGGACAUCAGGAGGUUAGUGCAAUGGCAUAAGCCAGCUUGACUGCGAGCGUGACGGCGCGAGCAGGUGCGAAAGCAGGUCAUAGUGAUCCGGUGGUUCUGAAUGGAAGGGCCAUCGCUCAACGGAUAAAAGGUACUCCGGGGAUAACAGGCUGAUACCGCCCAAGAGUUCAUAUCGACGGCGGUGUUUGGCACCUCGAUGUCGGCUCAUCACAUCCUGGGGCUGAAGUAGGUCCCAAGGGUAUGGCUGUUCGCCAUUUAAAGUGGUACGCGAGCUGGGUUUAGAACGUCGUGAGACAGUUCGGUCCCUAUCUGCCGUGGGCGCUGGAGAACUGAGGGGGGCUGCUCCUAGUACGAGAGGACCGGAGUGGACGCAUCACUGGUGUUCGGGUUGUCAUGCCAAUGGCACUGCCCGGUAGCUAAAUGCGGAAGAGAUAAGUGCUGAAAGCAUCUAAGCACGAAACUUGCCCCGAGAUGAGUUCUCCCUGAGACUUUAAGUCUCCUGAAGGAACGUUGAAGACGACGACGUUGAUAGGCCGGGUGUGUAAGCGCAGCGAUGCGUUGAGCUAACCGGUACUAAUGAACCGUGAGGCUUAACC
This 2894-nucleotide ribosomal RNA is filed under the name Escherichia coli. RNAcentral's name for it is "bacterial LSU rRNA". It matches the Rfam family "Bacterial large subunit ribosomal RNA". The record is from RNAcentral. Lineage: Bacteria; Pseudomonadati; Pseudomonadota; Gammaproteobacteria; Enterobacterales; Enterobacteriaceae.